Molecule: ribosomal RNA, 781 nt
Filed under: uncultured bacterium
Lineage: Bacteria
Description: bacterial SSU rRNA
Rfam family: Bacterial small subunit ribosomal RNA
Source: RNAcentral
AGAGUUUGAUCCUGGCUCAGAAUCAACGCUGGCGGCGUGCCUCAGACAUGCAAGUCGAACGAUUAAACUUUCCUUCGGGAAAGAUAUAAAGUGGCGCACGGGUGAGUAACACGUAGGUAAUGUACCUUUGGGUGGGGAAUAACUUAGGGAAACUUAAGCUAAUACCGCAUAAUGCGAUAACUUCUUCGGAAGAUUUUGUUAAAGAUUUAUCGCCUAAAGAGCAGCCUGCGGCAGAUUAGCUAGUUGGUAAGGUAACGGCUUACCAAGGCUACGAUCUGUAUCCGACCUGAGAGGGUGGUCGGACACACUGACACUGAAUAACGGGUCAGACUCCUACGGGAGGCAGCAGUCGGGAAUUUUGGGCAAUGGGCGAAAGCCUGACCCAGCAACGCCGCGUGAAGGAUGAAGUCUUUCGGGAUGUAAACUUCGUAAGAAUAGGAAGAAUAAAUGACGGUACUAUUUGUAAGGUCCGGCUAACUACGUGCCAGCAGCCGCGGUAAUACGUAGGGACCAAGCGUUGUUCGGAUUUACUGGGCGUAAAGGGCGCGUAGGCGGCAAUUCAAGUCAGUUGUGAAAUCUCCGAGCUUAACUCGGAACGGUCAACUGAUACUGCUUUGCUAGAGUACAGAAGGGGCAAUCGGAAUUCUUGGUGUAGGCGGCUGAAAUGCGUAGAUAUCAAGAGGAACACCUGAGGUCUGAAAGACGGGUUGCUGGGCUGAUACUGACGCUGAAGGCGCGAAAAGCCUAGGGGUAAGCAAAACGGGAUUAGAUACCCCCGGUA